Molecule: long non-coding RNA, 469 nt
Filed under: Arachis ipaensis
Lineage: Eukaryota; Viridiplantae; Streptophyta; Magnoliopsida; Fabales; Fabaceae
Description: long non-coding RNA (AIPA_LNC000767)
Source: RNAcentral
CUGAAUCCAGUCAUCACUCAAUCCAAAACUCCGAGCCUUAGAAAGCAAUGUGGGAUAAAGUUCAACCUCUAAAAUUCUCACAAGGGGCAUAGGCCGUUUGACACCAUUUAUUAGAAGAGGUGGCCCAUUUGCACCGGAUACAAUCUUUUCAAGAACUUGACUUAUCGCAUAAAUUGGAAGGCCCCUCACAAAUUGAUGAUCCUCUGAUGUACUGCAACCAAAUUUCAGCUGGUACAGGGGAUUCAGCAUCAGCAUCAAUAAAUACAAGUAAUGUAAAAAUUUACAAAUAUAUAUAUAUAUAUUCUUUUGGUAAAAAAAGUCAGGAUGGAUCAUAUAAGCACCCCCCUUUCUUUUUUAGAAGAGGUGGCCCAUUUGCACCGGAUACAAUCUUUUCAAGAACUUGACUUAUCGCAUAAAUUGGAAGGCCCCUCACAAAUUGAUGAUCCUCUGAUGUACUGCAACCAAAUUU